AUUGAACGCUGGCGGCAUGCCUUACACAUGCAAGUCGAACGGCAGCACGGGAGCAAUCCUGGUGGCGAGUGGCGAACGGGUGAGUAAAGUAUCGGAACGUGCCCAGUCGUGGGGGAUAACGUAGCGAAAGUUACGCUAAUACCGCAUACGAUCUAUGGAUGAAAGCGGGGGAUCGCAAGACCUCGCGCGAUUGGAGCGGCCGAUAUCAGAUUAGGUAGUUGGCAGGGUAAAGGCUCACCAAGCCGACGAUCUGUAGCUGGUCUGAGAGGACGACCAGCCACACUGGGACUGAGACACGGCCCAGACUCCUACGGGAGGCAGCAGUGGGGAAUUUUGGACAAUGGGCGAAAGCCUGAUCCAGCCAUGCCGCGUGCAGGAUGAAGGCCUUCGGGUUGUAAGCUGCUUUUGUACGGAACGAAAAGGUUUGGCCUAAUAAGCUGAGCUCAUGACGGUACCGUAAGAAUAAGCACCGGCUAACUACGUGCCAGCCGCCGCAGUAA
Molecule: ribosomal RNA, 500 nt
Filed under: uncultured bacterium
Lineage: Bacteria
Description: partial 16S ribosomal RNA
Rfam family: Bacterial small subunit ribosomal RNA
Source: RNAcentral